Empidonax traillii (willow flycatcher) is the source of this 264-nucleotide long non-coding RNA. RefSeq lists it as uncharacterized. The record is from RefSeq and is a predicted model, not a curated record. NCBI's taxonomy places the organism in Eukaryota, Metazoa, Chordata, Aves, Passeriformes, Tyrannidae. The transcript is spliced from 2 exons.
GCCCGGUAACAAGUGCAUUAGGUGAAAACUCUUGCCUAAUUCCCGUUUUACACGACCGUAAACAUCACCUCGCCGCGCCGCUACCAUAAAUGGUCCGCGGCAGCAGAGAUAAAGCCGUCACCGCUGCUCUAUCGGUAUCAGUUUUCUCCCGUGGCUGAUACACUGCAAGAUCAAGGGCUGCAGACAGAUGAAGACCACAAAUGUUCCGGCUGACCUCACUUUCCGAAACGCAUCAUUCCCACAAAUAAACAUCAUUAACCAUAA